AAUGAACGCUGGCGGCGUGCUUAACACAUGCAAGUCGAGCGAGAACGUCGACUUCGGUCGACUAGUAAAGCGGCGAACGGGUGAGUAACACGUGGAUAACCUGCCUUGGAGUGGGGGAUAACCUGGGGAAACUCGGGCUAAUACCGCAUACGUUCUCAGCCUUACGAGGCUGAGAGGAAAGCUGGCCAAUUCUUGAAAGCUGGCGCUCUUAGAGGGGUCCGCGCCCGAUUAGCUUGUUGGUGAGGUAACGGCUCACCAAGGCUGCGAUCGGUAGCCGGCCUGAGAGGGUGAUCGGCCACACUGGGACUGAGACACGGCCCAGACUCCUACGGGAGGCAGCAGUGGGGAAUAUUGGACAAUGGGCGCAAGCCUGAUCCAGCAACGCCGCGUGGAGGACGAAGGCCUUCGGGUCGUAAACUCCUGUCAGUUGGGACGAAAGUCGUAAGUCAAUAGCUUACGAUUCUGACGGUACCAGCAGAGGAAGCCCCGG
Molecule: ribosomal RNA, 490 nt
Filed under: uncultured bacterium
Lineage: Bacteria
Description: bacterial SSU rRNA
Rfam family: Bacterial small subunit ribosomal RNA
Source: RNAcentral